Molecule: long non-coding RNA, 1129 nt
Organism: Esox lucius (northern pike)
Lineage: Eukaryota; Metazoa; Chordata; Actinopteri; Esociformes; Esocidae
Exons: 3
Source: RefSeq, a predicted model, not a curated record
CCUUCCUGACUGCCACAGUGUGGAACUGGCAGCGAGAGAGAGCUGUGCCUGCUACCAGCUGCCGUUUCCCAGUCGGCGUACGGAGAGCCAGACAGACGCUGGCAGCCGGGCAGAUGCGAGCAAGCAGAGAGGCAAAGAUUCAGCGUCUGGGCGAUGUCUCGGACGCGAGCGAGGAGCAAAAGGCGAUCGUCUUCUUUCUUGCGGACCCUCGUAAAUCCAAGUGUUUUGUUUUGCCCUGCCGAUUCUCCUUCGGGUUCCUGGGAGGACAUUUUUCGUUUGUCUGCGGGGAGUAGACAAGACCGAGGAUGUGUAGAAGAAAAACUUGGAUGUACACUCUGGGAAGGAAGAGAGAGGAUUUAGCAUUUGCCCAUAGUCCGAUGCCAAAAGCCAGAUGCCUUACAGCGCACAUUCGCCGCUCUGCAACCCCUGUGUAUCUGCCUUGCCGGUUUCUGCAAAGACAAAAGAACUCUCUUCUCCGGUCCUCCUCGUCUACACCACUCCUCCCGCGUUUUUAAGCGUUGCGUUUUCUGCUUGCGGGAUCCUCCAGGUUCCAGGCCCGGCUCUCGGCAUUCCUGUACUCCCACCCUGGGUCCAAACACACCUUGAUUCUGACGUUGUCACUGUCCAUCCAGCGGCAGGGUCGCGGAGACGAAAGCCAAACCCGCCGAAAGCCCUUCCAGACAGGCGCACGAAGGGCUUGCAGGUUGCAGUCAUCUGUACAUCGUGGGGAGGAUCCUGGUGGAUGCCGCUGUGACUGGCAACAUUCCGGCUGGACUGUCGGUUUGCCGGCAGACAUGAAAUGCGUCGUCUGUUUCGAGCGGAUGAGCUCGUCUGCUACGAGGGACGGAGGAUCACUGGAGAUGGCAGGGAGGGGGGCGAGCGCCACGCUCUGUUUAUCAGCCUUCAUCAGCCUCCCCGCGCUGGGCGGAGCAGAGCCGCCGUUGCUGCAGGGUGGAUGAUGUCUGUCUGGCGCACGGCGGGCGAGGCGGCUGCUGUGAUGGAGUAGACGCAGAGCUGCAGGGGAUGACAGACAACAAAGGAAGAGCUCUACGACGCAUGCCUCUUCAUCCUCCAGAUUAUGACAAGAGCAUCCUCUCAUCCCUCUCUCAUCCAUCUCUCACUCCUCUCU